RNAcentral lists this ribosomal RNA (385 nucleotides) under uncultured bacterium. RNAcentral describes it as "bacterial SSU rRNA". It matches the Rfam family "Bacterial small subunit ribosomal RNA", at positions 29 to 443 of the family's 1533-position model. The record is from RNAcentral.
AACGAACGCUGGCGGCAGGCUUAACACAUGCAAGUCGAGCGCCUCGCAAGAGGAGCGGCAGACGGGUGAGUAACGCGUGGGAAUCUACCGUACCCUACGGAAUAGCUCUGGGAAACUGGAAGUAAUACCGUAUACGCCCGAAAGGGGAAAGAUUUAUCGGGGUAUGAUGAGCCCGCGUUGGAUUAGCUAGUUGGUGGGGUAAAGGCCUACCAAGGCGACGAUCCAUAGCUGGUCUGAGAGGAUGAUCAGCCACAUUGGGACUGAGACACGGCCCAAACUCCUACGGGAGGCAGCAGUGGGGAAUAUUGGACAAUGGGCGCAAGCCUGAUCCAGCCAUGCCGCGUGAGUGAUGAAGGUCUUAGGAUUGUAAAGCUCUUUCACCGAU